GCGUCGUAGGUUCUCUAUUUAUAGAGAAUAAUGGGGAAUGCAGUGUAAUUCUGCAACAGCCAACUCUACUGUAAGAAGGAGUGCUUGUUCAAAUCCAUUGGGCGGUUGACAGCCUGAGAAGGGAAUAAGCGCAUUGAAUUUAAGUCAGGAGACCCGCCUAGGAUGG
This 166-nucleotide non-coding RNA is filed under the name uncultured Negativibacillus sp. The record is from RNAcentral. Lineage: Bacteria; Bacillati; Bacillota.